UGGGGAAUUUUGGACAAUGGGCGCAAGCCUGAUCCAGCAAUGCCGCGUGAGUGAUGAAGGCCUUAGGGUUGUAAAGCUCUUUUACCCGGGAUGAAAAUGACAGUACCGGGAGAAUAAGCCCCGGCUAACUCCGUGCCAGCAGCCGCGGUAUAUCUUU
Molecule: ribosomal RNA, 157 nt
Filed under: uncultured bacterium
Lineage: Bacteria
Description: partial 16S ribosomal RNA
Rfam family: Bacterial small subunit ribosomal RNA
Source: RNAcentral